This 468-nucleotide ribosomal RNA is filed under the name uncultured bacterium. Its description in RNAcentral is "partial 16S ribosomal RNA". It matches the Rfam family "Bacterial small subunit ribosomal RNA", at positions 28 to 507 of the family's 1533-position model. The record is from RNAcentral.
GACGAACGCUGGCGGCGUGCUUAACACAUGCAAGUCGAACGGAAAGGCCCUGCUUUUGUGGGGUGCUCGAGUGGCGAACGGGUGAGUAACACGUGAGUAACCUGCCCUUGACUUUGGGAUAACUUCAGGAAACUGGGGCUAAUACCGGAUAGGAGCUCCUGCUGCAUGGUGGGGGUUGGAAAGUUUCGGCGGUUGGGGAUGGACUCGCGGCUUAUCAGCUUGUUGGUGGGGUAGUGGCUUACCAAGGCUUUGACGGGUAGCCGGCCUGAGAGGGUGACCGGCCACAUUGGGACUGAGAUACGGCCCAGACUCCUACGGGAGGCAGCAGUGGGGAAUAUUGCACAAUGGGCUGAAGCCUGAUGCAGCAACGCCGCGUGCGGGAUGUCGGCCUUCGGGUUGUAAACCGCUUUCGCCUGUGACGAAGCGUGAGUGACGGUAAUGGGUAAAGAAGCACCGGCUAACUACGUG